This 30-nucleotide small RNA is filed under the name Bombyx mori (domestic silkworm). RNAcentral's name for it is "ovarian small RNA-31666". The record is from RNAcentral. Lineage: Eukaryota; Metazoa; Arthropoda; Insecta; Lepidoptera; Bombycidae.
UGACCUUCGAGACCCACGGUAUGGGCUGUU